AUGGGGCGUCGCCAAGCGGUAAGGCACCAGGUUUUGAUCCUGGCAUGCGUAGGUUCGAAUCCUGCCGCCCCA
RNAcentral lists this transfer RNA (72 nucleotides) under Desulfotalea psychrophila LSv54. Its description in RNAcentral is "Predicted Gln trna". It matches the Rfam family "tRNA". Rfam says of the family: Transfer RNA (tRNA) molecules are approximately 80 nucleotides in length. Their secondary structure includes four short double-helical elements and three loops (D, anti-codon, and T loops). Lineage: Bacteria; Pseudomonadati; Thermodesulfobacteriota; Desulfobulbia; Desulfobulbales; Desulfocapsaceae. The record is from RNAcentral.